RNAcentral lists this transfer RNA (73 nucleotides) under Stegodyphus mimosarum. It matches the Rfam family "tRNA". From Rfam's summary of the family: Transfer RNA (tRNA) molecules are approximately 80 nucleotides in length. Their secondary structure includes four short double-helical elements and three loops (D, anti-codon, and T loops). The record is from Rfam by way of RNAcentral. Lineage: Eukaryota; Metazoa; Arthropoda; Arachnida; Araneae; Eresidae.
GUUUUUGUGGUGUAGUGGUCAGCACGCUCGACGCGUAUUCGAGAGGCCCAUGGUUCGAGUCCAGGUGAGAGCA